Molecule: long non-coding RNA, 582 nt
Organism: Impatiens glandulifera
Lineage: Eukaryota; Viridiplantae; Streptophyta; Magnoliopsida; Ericales; Balsaminaceae
Exons: 5
Source: RefSeq, a predicted model, not a curated record
UCUCUCGCUGACUAUUCAUUUCUUCGGCCGAGUGACGCUGAAUCAGAUCCGUAAAGCUUCUCAAUCUGGAGAUGAUAAAUCAAAUUUUUUUAUCGAUGUUACUGAAAUAAGCCAGUCUACAAGGUGUUCGACGAAAUGCUCACAAGAACAUCUUUGUCUUCAGAUGGAUAUGCAACUUUUAAUUUUAUUGGGGUAUUGCGGCUGCUGACAAUAAUCAUGUUCAAAUUUUAUGAGGGAUUAAGAAGACGGGCAUAGCCCUUAUUUCUGAACUCAAACUGAUGUCAAUAUAGGUUCUAAGAUCUUAAUUGGUCUGAACUAGGUUUAGUUCAUCCAUAUUCUCUAGUCAAGCAAACAAAGAAGAAGAAAAUGGUAUCACUGUUUUUAGAUUUUGAUAUAAAUACGAGAGGCGCAGAGAUAAAAAUGUUUGUCUCCAAUGUAAGGUACGAAUUACUUGUUUGUUUCUUAUUAAUUGAAUUUGUUUUCAUAGUUAUCAACUAAAUGCAAUGUAUAUAGAUUUAAGAACACUGUUCUUUGAUUGAAAUUGCAUUUACAAUGUUUGUGGAUUUACUUUGGUAAUCUUUG